RNAcentral lists this transfer RNA (85 nucleotides) under Microcaldota archaeon. RNAcentral's name for it is "Candidatus Micrarchaeota archaeon (hot springs metagenome) tRNA-Ser". It matches the Rfam family "tRNA". Rfam says of the family: Transfer RNA (tRNA) molecules are approximately 80 nucleotides in length. Lineage: Archaea; Nanobdellati; Microcaldota. The record is from RNAcentral.
GCUGGGGUCGCCUAGUGGUUAGGGCGACAGCCUGCUAAGCUGUGGUCCCAAAAGGACCUCGUGGGUUCGAAUCCCACGCCCAGCG